This is a long non-coding RNA of Ctenopharyngodon idella (grass carp), 2455 nucleotides long. RefSeq lists it as uncharacterized. The record is from RefSeq and is a predicted model, not a curated record. NCBI's taxonomy places the organism in Eukaryota, Metazoa, Chordata, Actinopteri, Cypriniformes, Xenocyprididae. The transcript is spliced from 3 exons.
CAGAAGAGAUGAUCGGUUCACGUGCGCUCUGCCUCUGUUUGAACUGAAGCGCUACAGCGAUGUUUCAGUCACACCACAGAGCGCCAAAAAAGAUCACGACAGCUCGAGAGAUAUCUAUGGUCUCCUGUCUAUGGGAAAGUAGCCCAUUUUCGAUUUAUUGUGCCUGAAAACUCACCCUGACACCCCCCACCCCCGAAAAAAAAAACUCUUCAGAUCAACACGAUUCACAUAAAUGAUAUAUUUUGACUCAACACGGCGAAUUUCACCGAAAAGCGACUAGUUUGCAGGUAGCCUAUGUAAUAUCACUACAGUGUGUCAUCAAGCCUGCUUGUGGCUUACUUUACUUUCACAAGUUCCAGCGCCAUCUUCUUCAUGUGCUGUUUGAUGUUGCUGGUCAAAAGGUGCAGUCAGCUGAGGAUACAUACAAAUUCUCAUUGCAGUAUUUAAAUAAAUUGCAAGAGAAGUUGCCCAUAUGGACAUUUUCAUGACAUGCCAAUCAUAAGUACAGCUAGUGAUGUGCCUGAAUCACGGAAAUGCAUGGAAAUCCUCUUCAAAAUGAAUUCUACCGAAUAAUAGUUUAUGAGUUCACACAGUAGCUAAAGGUUAUGUGUAUUUGGCAAGCUGUCCAAAGGGGAAGGCUCCGAGCUCGGAAUUUGGCUUGAACCCACAGUAUUCCCCCAAAACGCAAAUGAGCAAAGGACAGCCACCAGAUGGAUUGACAAUAAAUAAAAACUCAGAAUAUUAAUCUCAGUCAAAGGUAUCAAAUAGCCUUUGACAAAACAACAUAGCUGCUUGACAAAACAAAGUGCAACUUAGAAAAAGAAGCCAUUUGAGUCUACCGUUAAACCAACCCCCACCCUUCCCAUCACCAUUUGGAGAAACAUAACUAUUCCCAUGAACUAUGGGGGAUCAAACCAAGAACAGACCUUGAUCCGCCAGCCCCCCUUAAUACGAUCCGUGGAGUCAACAGAAGCCUGCACAUUACUGAAGCACCAACACUGGCCCUGUGCUGAUAUAAUGGCUAGUAAGUACGUCGAAAUAUAAAAAAAUAUAUAGGCUAUAUAUAACAAAUAAAUAAACAAAUAAAAAGAAAUACAUAAAAUAAUAUAACUACAUUUCAAAAAAUACAAAUUUACAACCUGGCAGAAACCAUAGCACACAACCCAACACGAAAUAAAAAAUACAAUGUGAACUGAGAGAGUUUCAAUAUUUGUGGAAAAAAUAAAUAAAUAAAGUGAGGUGAACACUUUAUAAAAGAACAAUCACCUGACAAAUUAGAGCAUAUCUUCUUCAAUUAAAGACAGAAAAUAUCCUGCUGAAGUUCACAGAGGGUUAGUAGCUGAAUGACAACUGAGAAAAUGUCUCGCUUCCUCUGGAGAGAACAGUAUUUUUUUGUUCACCCUUAUUGAGAAUGAGCUUUAGUGUUGCAGGAUAAAGAAGGAAAUUCUGGAUGCCAGCUUCCCUCAUUUCCCUCCGAAUUGGUACAAACGCACUUCUUUUUGCAGUCAUAGGAGAAAAGUCUGGAAAAAAGGGCAGCGUUGCUCCGUCGCUUUUUUUCACCGGCGUAUGAAGUCUGGCAGCCCGUUCCCUGUCCGAGUAUCGCAAAAGUUUAAAGAGAAAGACACGUGGUUUAGCGCGAUCUGUUCGUGUACACGCGAUGUGCUCGUUCCACUUCAAUCUCCCUACCCGCCAGAGAAGGGAGCCACGUCGGCAGCUAUCUUUUCGGAUCCUUUUUUCGGUCCUUUUCGGAUCCUUCAGGCAAUCCAACCAGACGCAGAUUGCUGCGCCUGUUCCAAUCUUGUAUAUCCACCACCUGCUGUUCAAGCGCGGCUAAUCGCACAUCAUGAUCUGCGAGUCGUUUUCACAUCUCACCUGUAAGAAGAUCGAGUUUAGAACAUAGCGACUGCACAACUGACAUGUGAGAAGCAAAUUCACUCCGUAUCGCCGUAAACUCUGUUUUUAGAAUGUCCUCAAAGAGUGCUACUCCAUUUUGUCAACCGUAUCACUCGUGCUCGGUGUCUUGGAUCUCUUCUUAAUCGGAGAAGACGACGGCGACAAAUCCUGCUGUUUUCGAUUGUGUGCCAUCUGGUGGUGACAAUUACUGGCAGCCUCUCCCAUUCCAGCUCUAGACGUGCAGCAGGGAAUUCGCCCAGGACACCGGCUUCAGCUUUAGCAGUGACUGCAUACUGUUGGCAUUCUGGACCCCAAGCAACCUUGGCCUGAAAAAGGACAGUUGUGUUCAAAGGGCACCGUCAGCACAGAUCUUCAGGUUGUCAUUUUCAGCGAUGGAGGAAAUGACGAGCUGCACUCUUGCAGUUGGCUUGUCAAAGUAAGCUGCAAGUUGGUAGCCCAGCAGCUUGUGGUCAACUCUCACAGCACGGGCAAUGACAGCAAAAACAGGUGGAAUACCAUUUCCGAGGAACUUAGCCUGAAAUAAAAAAACAUAAUCAAUUAA